This 1281-nucleotide ribosomal RNA is filed under the name metagenome. Its description in RNAcentral is "bacterial LSU rRNA". It matches the Rfam family "Bacterial large subunit ribosomal RNA", at positions 859 to 2122 of the family's 2925-position model. The record is from RNAcentral.
CCGAAAUAGCUCUAGGGCUAGCGUCGGGAUUUAAACACUGGGGGUAGAGCACUGACAGAGCUAGGGGCCCUGACCGGUUACUGAACUCCAUCAAACUCCGAAUACCAGUGUGAAUAUCCCGGCAGUCAGUCUACGUGGGAUAAGCUGCGUGGUCAAAAGGGAAACAGCGCAGAUCGACAGCUAAGGUCCCUAAAUUUCAGCUAAGUGGUAAAGGAAGUCAGAAUUCUUAGACAGCCAGGAGGUUGGCUUAGAAGCAGCCACCCUUAAAAGAGUGCGUAAUAGCUCACUGGUCGAUGUUUUCUGGCGCCGAAAAUGUAGCGGGGCUCAAGCUGAAUACCGAAGCUUCGGACGUGUCCUUUAGGACAUUGUGGUAGGGGAGCGUUCUGUACGCCUGUGAAGCCGUAUCGUGAGAAGCGGUGGAGGUAUCAGAAGUGCGAAUGCCGGCAUGAGUAGCGUAAAGAGAUGUGAGAAUCAUCUCUGCCGAAAGCCUAAGAUUUCCUGGGCCAGGGUUUUCCACCCAGGGUUAGGCGGGACCUAAGUCGAGGUCGAGAGACGUAGAUGAUGGACAGCCGGUUAAGAUUCCGGCCCCACGGCAACUUGUUUGAGCAUGGAGUGACGCAGAAAGAUAGUGCUAGCGGCGUGUGGUUGUGCCGCGUCAAGCGUGUAGGGUGUUGGGAUAGGCAAAUCCGUUCCAACUGAGCCUGAGACGUGAUGAGGACCGAACUAAGUAGGGAACUGCAUGUGUCUACGCUGCCGAGAAAAACUUCUAGUUAGAGUUGUCGUGCCCGUAUUGAAACCGACACUGGUGGGCAAGUAGAAAAUACUAAGGCGGCGGGUGAAGCCUUCUUAAGGAACUCGGCAAAUUAGCCCCGUAAGUUAGCGAUAAGGGGUGCCCUGAAUUGUGUAGGAACUUGCUUCCGAAGCGUUUUGGGGCCGCAGUGAAUGGGCUCAAGCGACUGUUUAACAAAAACACAGGUCUCUGCCAAGCCGCAAGGCGACGUAUAGGGGCCGACUCCUGCCCGGUGCUGGAACGUUAAGGGGAGGACUCAGGGGUAACCCGAAGGUCUGAACCGAAGCGCCAGUAAACGGCGGCCGUAACUAUAACGGUCCUAAGGUAGCGAAAUUCCUUGUCGGGUAAGUUCCGACCCGCACGAAUGGAGUAACGACUUGAGCACUGUCUCGAGAAGGGGCCCGGCGAAAUUGCAUUACCUGUGAAGAUGCAGGUUACCCGCAGCAAGACGGAAAGACCCCGUGGAGCUUUACUGUAGCUUGAUGUUGAUU